Molecule: long non-coding RNA, 1646 nt
Organism: Homo sapiens (human)
Lineage: Eukaryota; Metazoa; Chordata; Mammalia; Primates; Hominidae
Source: Ensembl
UACUCUGGCCACCACGAUCUUGGCAGCCCACACCUGAUCAGGACCUAAAGCGUGAAGGGUGUGAAUGAGGAGAAACGAGGACCGCCUGCUACCCCAGCGUCUGGCCCCCUGGGGACUGAAGGCUGGCUCUGGAGCUGUACCUCGGCAACUGCUAUAAGGCUGCCGAAGCCGCCGCCACUAAGGCGGCCGCCAGCAGCCUGAAUGCAGGUUAUAUGUCCCUUGAAGGAGUUGAGUAAAUACAGGCAGUAUGUGACUAGUUUAAAAUUAGACUUUGAAAGAAACUGUAUAAGAGAACAAGGUUUCACUCCAAUCACCCAGGCUGGAGUGCAGUGGGAUGCUCUCAGUUCACUGCAGCAUCAACUUCCCGAGCUCAGCCGGCCAACACUUAUGGAAAAUAGAAAGAACCUAUGUUGAAAUAUUGGGGGCAGGUUCCCCCAAUACAGGACCACAUAAGAAGAAAUCUUGAUCUCUGUAGACAAAUUGAAGAGGCAAAAAAGUCCUGUUGUGUCUGACAAAAAUUAAGUCGUAAAUAGAGAAGCAAGAGCUGAAGAAUGACACCAGAAAACCUGAGGACAAACUGGCUGGAAGAGACGGGCUCUCACUCUGUCACCCAAACUGGAGUACAGUGGCACAAUCAUAGCUCACUGUAGCCUCAACCUCCUGGGCUCAAGUGAUCCUCCCACCUCGGCUUCCCAAGUAGCUGGGACUACAAGUGCACACCACCAUACCUAGAUAUUUUUUUGUUGUUGUUUUUGGUAGAGAUGGUUUCUCAUUAUGUUGCCCAGGCUAGUCUUGAACUCCUGGGCUUGAGUGAUCCUCCUGCCUAGGCCUCCCAAAGUCGUGGAAUAAUAGGCAUGAGCCGCCACAUUCAGCCUAUUUUUAAAAAUAUUUUAGAAACAAGCACUUCUAGAGAAAAACAAUUACCUAUUUUUACAAACAAUGUUUUAAAAAUGACCUGUAAGAUGAAGACCAGAGGAAAGUGCAUUUGAAAACAAACGACAAGAUGAAACAGAAGCCCGACUCCAAGCAUCAGCUGAGUGUCCGCCAACUCGGCCGCAGCCAUCUUCCGCCGCCGCGGCGCGCAGCUCUAAAGAUUCUGCCUUUGUGGAGCCCCCAAAAUGGCUCAGACUUUCAGGAAGCUUCCCCAUCUUACUGCUUCUUUUCCAAAGAUGGCGUCCAUGUGCCUGAGGGCCAGUUCAUCAUUCUCAAAAUGGUACCAAGAUUGCUAUCAAAAAGUGAAGAAGCAAUUACAUCCUUGAUGGAAUGUAUAGAGUAACACGACAGAACAAAAAGAAGAAAUUGUGUUUCAAAUGAAUAAAAAGUGCCUCACUUCAUGCUUCAGUUGUUUCUGCUAAAACAACAAAUGUCCCCAGACAAUCUUUACCAGAUAUUCUGAGACAAGAGGUGAGACAUGCUGAUUUAAGUGUAAAAAGGCCCAAGAAACCAAGCUUCAGCUAUGAACCAGAAAUCAUUGGCUGGGAUGCUCAUACCACUUACACAUUCAUUCCAGAGAACGUAUGCUUUUUUUCCAAGAUAUAAGCCCUGGGUCUGGGGGAUUGUGGUGUGGAGAUCUACUUGUCUUGUGACCACUCAAGACCACGAUUCUGUCUGUAAGUUCCCUUAAUAAAUCACCCCAAAUCGACAAA